Molecule: ribosomal RNA, 391 nt
Filed under: Stramenopiles sp. MAST-4E
Lineage: Eukaryota
Description: partial small subunit ribosomal RNA
Rfam family: Eukaryotic small subunit ribosomal RNA
Source: RNAcentral
AUUCCAGCUCCAAUAGCGUAUAUUAAAGUUGUUGCAGUUAAAAAGCUCGUAGUUGGAUUUCUGGUUGAAGCGACCGGUCGGGCGUUGAUUCGUCUGCACUGGAGUCGGUUUUGGCCAUCCUCUAGGAAAGUGCGUCUGGUAUUAAGUUGUCGGGCGUAUGAUCCUGGUCUUUUACUGUGAAAAAAUUAGAGUGUUUAAAGCAGGCUCUCGCCUUGAAUACAUUAGCAUGGAAUAAUAAGAUAGGACUUUGGUCUAUUUUGUUGGUUUGCAGACCGAAGUAAUGAUUAAUAGGGAUAGUUGGGGGUAUUUAUAUUCCGAUGUCAGAGGUGAAAUUCUUAGAUUUUCGGAAGAUAAACUUAUGCGAAAGCAUUUACCAAGGAUGUUUUCAUUG